UUAACAGCUCUUCUACCCUCCCUUUUUUCUCUUCUCCUGUCGCCUCUUCCUUUUUCGGCGACAGACAACGGCUCCGGCGAGACUCCCCACCACGUGCUGGUGGCAGAUACCCCUCUCUUCCUCUCUUUCUCCCGUUCCUCCUCCCCUCUCCUUCUUCUCCCUUUUUCUCUCUCCCCGGCGAUCUCCAGCAGAAGCACCCUACGACCAGCAGCAGACUACCGGUAGCAACAGCAGUACCCAGCAACCUGCAGAGACAACAGAAGCAGCAGCAAGAACAGCACAGCGGCAGCAAACAAUUUCCAGCAAAUUACGAGACGGAUCUCAACAGAUCCGUCCGGGUACAUUCUCUUUAAAUUAUUAUCUCGCCUUUUAGUAUUUUUAUUCUUCUCUUUUGCCUACAGUUUGAUUUCAAUUUUCAUGAAAAAUUCAUGUAUAUUUAUGUGAAAAUCGAUGUACAUCUUGCUUAAAGUAUGUUAAUUUUCUGAAGUUUAUUCAUUAUUAUUAGUUUAAGUAUUAUUCAGUCUGACAUCAAUUUGAAUAUCUUGUUAAAACUUCAUUGCUCUCCCGGAAUGUGUUCAUAUGAUUAGAUGUUAACUUGCUUUGAAUUCUAUUAUUGUUGAAGCUUUCAUGGAUCGUCAUCAAAAGUUUUCUCUUACUAAUCUUAGACAUCCUUUGUAUUGUUCGAUUUGGUGCCUUCAUUGAUGAUAAUAUUUGUUAACUGAUUACGAGAUAAUUUGUCAAGUUUUAUUGAUAAGUGAUUUUGUUAAGUGUGGUAGCCUUGGGAUAAUUUUACCGUUAUUUCUUGAAUAUUUCUUUGCUUCCCUUGAUUUUAGUAUCUAUUGUUAAUGAACCCUUUUUUUCCAUAAAUAAACUGAUAGAUUAUUACUCGGUGUGUAUUUGGUAAUGAUUUAAUUAAUUUAGGAAUUAAAAAAAAUAUAUAUAUUAAUAGUCAAAUUAGUUCACCAAGUUGGUUCUUCUUUAUUUAAAGGAAAAUAAUAUUACUCUUCUUAAUCUUAUUUUACUUGUUUAUAUUUGGUAAUGAAAUAUUACUAUAGUUCUAAUUUUGGCUCUUUUAAAAAAAGGAAAAUUAUAAUUGGUCUCUUCUUUCAUUAAUAUUUGACUUGAUUAAUUAUUACUUGUUUAUUUAUGGCAAUUUUAAUUGUUUCCUUGUCAUAUUUAGUUGCUCAUAUAUUUGGUAAUAAUAAGUUAAUAAUUAUUUUCUGAUUUGACUUCCCUUCUGAAUAAAGAAAAUAAUUUUAAUUGAUUCCUUUUUCCUUAUUUAAAAAAUUGACACAUCUCUUACUUGUUUCUAUGUUUGAUAAAAAAAAUUUAAAAUCUGAUUUUUGGCUCUUCAUUAUUUAAGGAAAAAUAUAUUGUUCUUCCUUAUUUGUUCUUACUUGCUUAUAAAAAUAAUUAAAAUAAUUUGGCUGAUUUGAAUCUCCUUUGGAGUAAGGAAAUACUAUAUUUAUUUAAUUCCUUAAAAUAUUUUUUCCUUAUGUGUUCUCCCCUCUUUGCUAUAUAAAUAAGACCCCCUGCCUUCAUUAUUUCACACUCUCACAUCUUGAUAUUCACUCACUUUCAUCACAAGUGCUCACAUUACUCUUCACUCACACUCUCUCAUUGCUCACUCACCCUCAUGCUUAGGCUCAUACUUUAACACUUUGACAAUUAGAAAAAGGUUCUCUACUCUUAGUAGAAAGAAAGAUUCUUGCAUACUUUAAGAUUUUUUUUGUUGUGUUGCUGUCGUGAAUUGAAAAUUUACUAAAACUCUUCAUUGCCGAUAAACUUUUUUGCGUAAUUGGUUAGCCCUUUUUAUUGGUUUAAAUUUAAUUUUUGCAUAAUUCUAAAUAUUUGUGUGUUGGAAAUCGAAACAACAAGGAAGCAACCAAGUUAGUUUCAUCAUCCUUUUACGUGUGAUAAUAUAAUUAUGAUUAUUCUUUAUCUCUGUUUGUAUGUUAUUUACAUAUAUAUGAGAGUAAUUGGUUAUUAUGAACAUUUGAUGUUACGAUUAUUGUUUUCAUCGUAUAUGUGUUACAUCCUUUCUAACAGGUUUGAACUUUGAGUUCAAGAGUCGACUAGAAGAAAAUUUCGGACGAAACGAUUUAUUUUAAUGUGUAUACUUGUUCAUAUUUUGUAAUAUUUAUAAAACUCACUAACUAUAUAUAUGAAAUAUAUUGGGGAUCGACUAAAGGGAGGGGGAAUUAUAUGUUAAUCUAUCUUUUAUCUUGCAAA
Solanum pennellii is the source of this 2232-nucleotide long non-coding RNA. RefSeq lists it as uncharacterized. NCBI's taxonomy places the organism in Eukaryota, Viridiplantae, Streptophyta, Magnoliopsida, Solanales, Solanaceae. The record is from RefSeq and is a predicted model, not a curated record. The transcript is spliced from 2 exons.